AUUGAACGCUGGCGGCAGGCCUAACACAUGCAAGUCGAGCGGAUGAAGGGAGCUUGCUCCUGGAUUCAGCGGCGGACGGGUGAGUAAUGCCUAGGAAUCUGCCUGGUAGUGGGGGAUAACGUCCGGAAACGGGCGCUAAUACCGCAUACGUCCUGAGGGAGAAAGUGGGGGAUCUUCGGACCUCACGCUAUCAGAUGAGCCUAGGUCGGAUUAGCUAGUUGGUGGGGUAAAGGCCUACCAAGGCGACGAUCCGUAACUGGUCUGAGAGGAUGAUCAGUCACACUGGAACUGAGACACGGUCCAGACUCCUACGGGAGGCAGCAGUGGGGAAUAUUGGACAAUGGGCGAAAGCCUGAUCCAGCCAUGCCGCGUGUGUGAAGAAGGUCUUCGGAUUGUAAAGCACUUUAAGUUGGGAGGAAGGGCAGUAAGUUAAGACCUUGCUGUUUGGACGUUACCAACAGAAUAAGCACCGGCGAACUUCGG
Molecule: ribosomal RNA, 483 nt
Filed under: uncultured bacterium
Lineage: Bacteria
Description: partial 16S ribosomal RNA
Rfam family: Bacterial small subunit ribosomal RNA
Source: RNAcentral